UGUUUGAAUGUUAAUGGUAAAAAUCAAAGCAUCCUUAAUCCAUCUCUGGUAUAAUGAAUCUAGGAUUCCAGUAUGUGAUAGCAUUGAUGUUGAUUGAAUUACCUCUUUUUAGAUAUGUCUCUAGUAGACAUAGUAAGAUAGUAUGAGAUAGAUUAAUGAAAUAUCCUCUUUGAAAUGAUUGAUUUUGCUGUAGUCUAUUUUUUAAUUGUGAUAUAUGUAUCAGAGCAACUGUAAUAAGUACUGGGGUGGUUUAAACACAUUGGUCCAUUAUGUUUUGAUUGCUGUAUAUCUUCUCCACCUACAGUUUGUAGAAUGGUUUACAUCACAAUAUCCAGUUGGAUCUGAUUGCCCUUGCUAACUAUAUUAGUUGAUUGAAGUGAGGUCUACAGGUGCUGUUCUGUGUGCAGUAGAUCAUUGCAGAUCCAGAAUGUUUCAAAAUUAUGAAAAGUAAGCUUUUUUGAAGAAAAGAAAUAUACAUCUAAACUGAACUCCAUGGGCAUGAACAACCAACCAAAUGGAGGAAAAAUGCUUGGAUGAAAUCAGCUCUGGGGAUGCAGCCAAAAUAUUGAAAUAACUAAAGAUCAGACAUAUGAAUGUAGCAAAUGUUCAGAACCUUGCUGACUUUGAUAAGCACUGUUUGCAUUUAACAGACUUUGAUCCAAGGAUUAAUAAUUUAAAGCCUUUGGUAAGAUUUGUUGUGGUAAACAACUGCUUGCUUUUUUACAUUUUCAAAAAUUGUUAACAGAUUGUUAUAUUAUUCUUGUAACAAUUUAUAUCUUUAAACAUUUUAAUGAUAGUGUACUUGGUGACAACAUUUGUUGCUAAUCAGCAGAUGUAUUUACUGAUUUUAAUGUAAAUAUAAGUACUGUAUUGUGUAAAAAUUAAUCACAAUUUUUGAUGAAACAUCUUUUAGUGACAAGCUUUAAGUUUGGAAAAUGAAUAAAAAGACAAAAUAACAAACUUAACAAUAGUACUACAUGAAAGGAUUUUUAAAUAGUUCCUGUAAUUCCAUAGCAAUGUAUUGAUUUCUCAUUAUAAGCCCCGUUUGUGUUUGUUUGUUUGAACUAUGGUGAUAGUUUUAGCUUUUUCUUUUAUACAAAGUCUAAAAGAGGGAUAAUUCAGGUUUAGUAUAUAGAUACAUUCUGUUAAAGUGACAUUGAUGUUAUUUUAGUAUGUCAUUGUUACGGUUACUGUUUCAAGAAACAUUGGUGUACUUUCAGUUUGAAAUGAGCUAUUUUCUCUCCUUUAAUAUGUGUGUGUGUGUGUGUGUGUGUGUGUAUUUAGAGUAGCUGUUUUUUAAAAAAAAUUAAUGCUACUGAUUUGUGUUAUGAAGCACAUAGUCUCCAACAGGCCAUCGGAGUUGUUCCGAGUUGUUGGGGAGCUCCUGCGGCCUCCCGAGGCCCAGGGGUUUCCUGAUGACUUGGCAACUCGGUGCAGCGAUUUCGCGCACCAUUUUGCAGGCAAAGUUGCUCAGAUACGCCGUGAGUUGGACUCCAGCUUAACUGUGGUCCCAGCGGAGGUAACCGAGGUACCUGUCUGUGCGAUCUUAUGGGAUUCUUUCCGGCUUGUCCUUCCUGAUGACGUGGAGGGGAUUCUUGGGUCUGUGAGGGCGACCACCUGCGCUCUGGAUCCUUGUCCUUCUUGGCUGGUGAAGCUGGCCAAAGAUGGGUUGUUGGAUUGGUUUGUGGCUAUUAUAAAUGCCUCCCUGGUUCAAGGGUCAGUUCCAUCCUGCUAUAAGCAGGCGAUAGUAAAACCAUUAUUAAAAAAGACCUCGUUAGACCCAUCUGUAUGUAACAACUACAGGCCAAUUUCCAACCUCCCAUUUCUGGGCAAGGUUCUGGAGCGGGUGGUUGCUACGCAGCUGCAGGAGUUCCUCGAUGACACUGAUUUUCUGGACCGCUCGCAGUCUGGCUUCAGGCCUGGACACAGCACCGAGACGGCUUUGGUCGCCCUGGUGGAUGACCUCCGCAGGGAGCUGGACAGGGGGAGUGUGACCCUGCUGGUUCUCUUGGACAUCUCAGCGGCUUUCGAUACCAUCGACCAUGGUAUCCUUCUGGGGAGGCUCGCCGGGAUGGGAAUCGGUGGCACAGUUCUGUGGCUUCGGUCCUUCCUGGAGGGCCAUUCCCAGAUGGUGAAGCUGGGGGAAACCUGCUCGGACCCCUGGCCAUUGACCUGUGGGGUCCCGCAAGGGUCUAUUCUAUCCCCCAUGCUAUUUAACAUCUACAUGAAACCACUGGGAGAGGUCAUCCGGAGUUUUGGAGGGUGUUGCCAUCUCUACGCAGAUGACACGCAAAUCCACUACUCGUUCCCAUCUGAUUCCAAGGAAGCCCCUCGGAUGCUGAACCAGUGCCUGGCCGCUGUGGCGGACUGGAUGAGGAGGAACAAGCUGAGGAUCAAUCCUGACAAGACAGAGGCCCUCCUGGUCAGUCGCUCGUCGGAUCGGGGUAUUGGGUGGCAACCUGUGCUGGACGGGGUCGCACUCCCCCUGAAGUCACAGGUCCGCAGUUUGGGGGUCCUCCUGGAUUCAGCGUUGAUGCUUGAGGCUCAGGUGUCGGCGGUGGCCGGGAGGGCUUUUGCACAACUCAAACUUGUGCGCCAACUGCGACCAUACCUCGUGGAGUCUGACUUGACCACGGUGGUGCAUGCCUUAGUUACCUCUAGACUGGACUACUGUAAUGCGCUCUACGUGGGGCUUCCCUUGAAGACGGCUUGGAAAUUACAACUGGUCCAACGCUCGGCUGCCAGAUUAAUAACUGGGGCGAAUUACAGGGAGAGAUCUGCUCCCCUGUUUAAGGAGCUCCACUGGCUUCCGUUCAUUUUCCGAUCCCAAUUCAAGGUGCAGACCAUCAUAUAUAAAGCCCUAAACGGUUUGGGACCCACCUACCUUCGUGACCGUAUCUCCUACCAUAAACCUGCCCGAUCUCUGCGAUCGUCAGGGGAGGCUCUCCUGUCGCCACUGCCUUUAUCCCAGACCCGCCUUGUAGGAACAAGGGAGAGGGCCUUUUCUGCUGUGGCCCCCCGUUUAUGGAACUCAUUGCCCAUUGAAAUCAGGCAAGCCUCCACUCUUUCAGACUUUAGGAAAGAUCUAAAAACAUGGCUCUUCCGAUGUGCUUUCGGAGAGUAACUGUUACAUGCUUUUUGUUACACCCCCCAUUAUUUAUCCUCUAGGCUGUCUGCUAUCUUUUCCUUAGUUCCCUGUGGUUUUAUUCUUAUCCUUUUUCUUAUCCUUUUCUCACCCCGAGUUUUAACUGAGUAUUCGUGCGGCCUGCCCUGUUAUAUUGCUCUUUGGAUUUUGUGUUGUACUGUAUAUGAUUCUUUAUUGUAUUGUUACAAUUGUAUUAUGAUAUGUUGUUUUUAUAUUGUGUUAUAUUGUAUUUUUCCCGGGCAUGGCCCCAUGUAAGCCGCCCCGAGUCCCCAUUGGGGAGAUGGUGGCGGGGUAUAAAUAAAGUUUUAUUAUUAUUAUUAUUAUUCUUGUCUAGGUAAUGACCUAAACACAGCGUAAAGCAAUAGACCAGGUUAUAACCAUGCUUCUAACAGUUUUCCCCUCUGAAUGUGCCAUGGACUAGAACACUAGUUGGAGAAAUGUCAUGAUUUGCCACAUUUUUUCUCAUUUAUUUCCUUCUUGGAAACUUUUUGUGAAUUGGCAUCAGCCCAUAAACCAUCAAUCUGAGUAAAACUGGUUUACAGGUCUUCUACCAUUUAGUGUGGCCAUAUCCCUGUAACUAUAAAAUAACUAAAGGUAUAGUGGUACUAUAAAAGGAAAUGGAGUUAUUCCUUGUUACAUUAGUCAUAAAGUAAAAUAGUUACAAUUAAAUAGUGAUUGGAAUGGGUUAGUUCCCAGCUGUAUUCUGGUGAUAUAACAAAUCAGGGUUACACACGUUUAGCUUUUCAUUUGCAUCCUUUGGUGAGGCUGAGCUUUGCUACAGUUUCUUUUGGAAAGGCAAAUGGCUAUUCAGUUUUCUCUUUGUAUUUUUAGGACUAUAUUAACUUCCUAUUGAAAGGGAGAUUAUUUGUUUCCAGAAAAGAAGCCACAUGGAAUUUAAGAAUUUAUGUAUGCCUUAAGAUGCUCAAUAUGUCUUGCAAAUUAAGGAUUUUUUUUACAUCUGUGGUUAAUCAGACAUCAGUAACAAAUAAACAUUAGUAGAAACAUGAUUUCUGUCAAUUUUCUAUAACAUUGCUAGAGCUGAUCUUUGUCAGAUUCAUAACAUUCACCACUUGCAGCAGUAGAACUUGCUCAAUGUAUUACUGCAUUGAGAAAAAAGCUAUAUAUACCCAAACACUAGUUAGAGAUAUGCCAUGAUUUGCAGUGGACUACUGAGCUAGACAUUAUUGAAGAAAAAACACCAUAUCCUUUUCUUAAGACAAAGCAUACAAGGCUCAGUAUGUCUUUCAUUUGACAGUUGCAACAGAACGUUCAUCCUCCCUACUCUUCAAGCCUCACACUUUCCCAGAACUAUACAGUGCCCACCAAUCUUGAAAAGUAGUUUUGGAAGUGCAUGAGGGCUGCAUUGGUGAUGGGAAUAAUCUCUCCUGUGUUUUCUGGGCAUCAUUGCUUUGCUAAGUGAAUGGUCCUGUUCAGUGCUGCCCACAGUUUAUUACUAAUUUGAAAAGAGGCUUCCCUCUUAUUCGGAAAGGAAAAAAGUUUCACUUUUGGAGUGGUACAUUUGUUUUGUUUCCACAAUUUAUUUCUGCUUCUCUUGUGUUUGAAUGCAAACACAGCAUGGGACAGUAGCAGGAGGCCUUCAUCUUUACCUUAUUUCUGUCUCACUUUUAAGAAAAAUAAGUUUUAUUGUCAGAUCAAAAUCCCCUGGUAUUCCACCUUGCUAGACUGCCCCCUCUCUAAGAGAUUCUCCCACUGAUAAGAACCUGUGAAAGCCUGCAGCCUUACAUAGCAAAAAUGAUGGGUAGUGUACACAAGACAUUCUAGUGUGGCUGUAAAAUGCUCCUGUGUUAUUUUUAUUGGAGCCAAAUUUGAUCUCUUAAAUAUCUCCUCUACUUUUUCGAUGUCAGGGUUUUGGUAUCCCCCCCCCCUUUUUUUUUAGAACCAUUCUAUUUCUUAAAAUCAUUAGACUUCAUCUCCCUGUCCCAUUUCCUCUCAUGUUACCUGUACCAUGAAGCUUUACAGACAUUAAGAAAGAUAAGUUGUAAUUUUGGAUAUAAUAAUGGAGAAAAUUAUUUGUAACUGUAUGUAGUGGCAAAUCACCUGCGCUCUUUUGAGGAGCAGUCAAUAUGCAAAUGUCUUGAAAUAUAAACCAUUGUUAAAUUAUUAUAAUGAGAAAAUGCUUCACAAGAAAUAGAAAAAAGUCUUUUAAUAUUUGAUUUAUAAUUAGGUAGCGGUUUAUAAAUAGACACAUUUCUUCAACUAUUAUAAUAAAUUAUGAGAGCAAAAUCAAAUGGAAGGUCUUCCUGAUUCUAUCACAUGCUGAGCCAAUGAUCUUGAGCUAAUGAUCAGUUCACAAUUUUUUGUUCUACCAUAGCUUCCCCCCCCCCCCCAGAGAGCCCACAAAACUACCUUACCCUUUGAUCGUACCUAAAAGACUUUUCAAUAAAACUUUUAAAAAUUUCUAAUUUAGAUAGCAUAACAGACCACAUUAUUUUAGUGUUUUAUAUACGAUUUCACUGAAUUUAACAAGUGGCCUAAACUGACUGCGAUCAGAAGUGAAAUUACGAAGUAGCAUUAGAUAUCAAAACUCAAUAUUUAUUACUAACUUUUCCCUUAUAAUAUUUACAGCAAUGGUAGACAUUCUAAAUUUGCACUUGAUAGUUGUGUGUUUCCUGACUGAUAUUUUGUCCUCACGUUUUCUCUUUCCUCCCACUGUUGAUGGCACCAGUCAUGAAAGGUUUUAGUUGUAUCAGGUCUGUGCUGUGUUCACUGAGCUGUAAAGAAGCCCUCAGUGAUGAAUGUGAACUGGUACUUUUGGGAUGUUUUGAUUUUAGGAUACCAGCUGUGUAUCCUAACUUAAUCUUAAGACAUAAAAAGUUUUUUAAAAAGUGUUCUGUUAUUAGUCAUAUGUUUUAUUUUGAAAAGCAGAUUUUACUUUUUUCUACUUUUUGUGAAGUUUAUAGGUCAGAAGUAUAGUAUUUCUGAAGCGAGUAACUUUUGAGUAGGAUUUCCAAGUUACUUUUAUCUAUAUAUAGAUUAUCAGUAUUUUCAUGAGGUGAAAUUGAUGGAUCUGCUUUUAAGAUGUACGUAACUUGUAAAUGUCUGGCAUUAUCUACUUUUGUCUAGUCUUUUGUGUAGUCUUGCACAUAGUUUACAGUGGUGAACAAAUGCAGUAUAUUGUAUUUAAGUACAGGCAGUCCACAAGUUACAGACAUCCAACUUACAAAUGACUCAUAAUUAAGAAUGGGGGGUGAGACAACAGGAAGUGAGAGAAAUUACCCCUAGGAAGGGAAAUUCACUCCUGAAACAGUUAUCAUAGGAAAAGGGUGUCUCAGCUGAAGCUUUCUCACCAAUCCUUGUUUCUAUAAGGACUCCACCACACUCUAAGGAAGCAUAUUCCACUGCUGAAGUGAAGUAGAAACUGCAUUCACAGGACUUGGGAGAAAUAAAUCACCUGGAAUACUUGGCAUACUAGUAGAGCGGUUUCAAGCUACUGCAAUAGAAUUUAGUCAAAUUAUUCCUAAAAUAUGUGAGAAAAAAUGGAAACAAAACAAGGGCCACAGACUGGGAACAAUUCCUUAUCUUCAUUGUCACUUUGCUGACCAGUAAGAAGGAUCAGGAUUUGAGCUUUCCCCCGAGUUAGCGUAACCUGGGGCAAAGUCAUGUUAAGGCAGCCAUAACCUAGGUUAUAUUGAAUUGGUCCCAUGUGGUGUAUAGCUGUCAAGGGGCUGAUCCAAAUACAGGCAGUCCACAAGUUAAAAACAUCAAUUUUACAAAUGACUCAUAUUUAAAAAUGGGAGUGAGACAACAGGAAGUGAGAGAAAUCUACCCCUAGAAAGGGAAAUUAACUCAUGAAAGAGUUAUCAUGGGGAAAAGGUGUCUCAACCAAAGCUGUAUCACCAAUUCUUGUUUGCACAACAAACCUAAGUUUUUCAAAAUAUAAUUCUCACAGGGACAGAAAGUGGGGUGAAAUCUCCUGAACAGGAACACAGACAGCAAAACAAACACCAUAAGGGUGUUAACCCAUCCCUAUGCUAUCCAAAGCUCUUUCUCUCUCCUCCCCUCCCUCUGUAUAUAUGGCUGGUCUGACUUACAUACAAAUUAAACUUAAGAACAAAUCUACAGAACCCAUCUUGUUCAUAACUUGGGGGCUGCCUGUAUAUUCAAAAUAGCAAAUUGGUGCCACUCUUAUUGUUUUAGUGAAAGUUCUAAAAUGGUAAAUUGUAUUCUUAUAUUUACAUCAGUUACUUUUCUACCUAAAGUCUGGAAUAACAGAGAACACUAUUUAUUGCCACAAAGAACCCCAAAAUAAACAGCCAUUGAAAGUAGAUGAGCUAAAAUAAUCAUGUCCUUGUAACUAUUGUAUAUAUGAUACAUCUGGAAGAGGAAAACAGCCUUCCUUGCACGUAUUUCUGAAUGACAGUGAAGAAGUGGCCAAAUAGAGCCAAAUCCAGGUUCCUUUAUUUUGGAAGCAGAAGUUGUCAGAAAUGUUUCUAGAGAAAGUGCUAAUCAAAAUACAAAGAGCAACGGACCUCUAAAUAUGAGUCUACACUCCAGUAGGAUCCCCACUAUGGGAAAGUGCAAAGAUCUUUCUCCCCACUUGGGCAUUGCUUCUGAACUUUGGCUGUCAAGUUUGGUUCAUGGCUACUAAUACUAUUUAACUUAUUGAGACUUCUGUGUUUGUUCAUGGUAGAGAAGCAGAAAGUAUGUUUGUUCUUGGUGGGGAGGCGAAUGUCACACUAUUGAGAAAUAUGAGGAAGAAAAAGAUCUGAGUAAAUGAUGGUAUUACGAAGGAUAAACAAAGAAGAAGGAAAUGAAAAAUAUAAUACAUGGAAAUAAAUAUUGGCCUUAUUGAAUAUUAAAACAACAUUUCUAUUGUUUCAUAAUUUAUAUUAAACAGUAGAUAUAUGACAUUCAUAAUGGUUCUUGAUGAGGAUGUAAGUUCUUCUGUUAGCCAAAUACUUUAAAGAGGGACAUUAGUAAGCUACCAGUCUUUUAACCAUCAAAUGUUGCUGUUAAAGCUCCUCACUAUAUCCUAGAUUUGAGGUAUACAACAUUCAUGUUAUCUAUCAAAUCAUAACCCAUUUAACAGUGCUGUUUGACUCUAGUUUAUUGUUUAUUUUUGAUUUUGAGUAAGGGAUGAACACUUACUCUCAGCUGGAAUUUAAACAGUAUAUUAAGCUUUCAUUGUUUAAUGCUGUGCACUAGCACCAGUUACUAUAGUUUCAGAGCUAACUAUAAUUGACACUUCGGGCUGGUUUUCAUAGUGUAUUUUAAGCAUGUGUUUUAUCUUAAUGAAAGACACAUUUUAAAUACUUUAUUGUUAUUGUGUUAAAUUACCUGCUGUAAAAGGUUCCAUUAAAUAUAAAGGAACAGUAAAUAUUACUUCGUAAAUAGUAACUGUGAUAUGACUCUAUAUCUGUGGUCAUUAUUUCUGCAUUUUCUAGCUUUAAACAGACAGCAGUUCCAAUCUUAGGAAGCAAUUUUAGACAAAUCUAGUGAGAAGAAUUUAAUAAGGUAAUUUGAAAAAAACAAAAAAAAUUAUUUGUACAGUGCAGGAAAUGGAACAGGGAAAUGUACCUUGAAGGUUUGAAAUUCAACCUUGGUGUGGGUGUGGGUAUCAAUGAAAUUCACUUACAGUCACAGAUUCAGAGCAAUAUUCUUAUUUUAAAAGAUAAAAUAUUUUCUUUAAAAUAAAACUUACCUAGCAGAUGAAGAUAAUGCUUGGAUGCUCUAUCUCCAAAUACUCCCCAGGUAGGUAGCUUUCUGUAUUAGAAAAGCCUUGUGCACAGUAGCUUUGCAGUUUCCUUUCUCUGUCUCAUUUGGUGCUGCUGCUGCUUCAUUUUGUUACUGCUUGCUUCCAGUUGCUCCCAGUUAUUCCAGAUCCUUGGGGUGGCUGUCCAAAUGAUAUAUCAGAUUAUUCUUCCUUUGAGAUGCCACAAAAAAGCAAUGGGCUUUUCAUCUUCUCAAACAAUAGAGACAGAUGUAGCAAAUCUUGUUAACUCAGAUGUUCAUUAUUUAUCAAAUAUUAAUUGAAAGCUUUAGUGUUCAGUAAAUCCCAUCUGCUUUUCUCACAUGAAUUCCAAUACUGAAAACUUCUUUCUGUUAUCCAUUUUGUUGAGACUGUAUGUUUCGUUGCAAGGCAGGAUCAUUGAGCUGAAGGUUCUGGCUUAACUUUUUACCUGCAUAGCCUGCUUUUGGUAGUGGAUGUUGAACAGUCUGCUCUUCUGUGCUUCUGUCAAACACAGAUGUGAAAUGCUGCUUGCCAACAGGGGAGAAACUCCCAAAGGGUGUAGUGUGUUGUGUCAUAUCUCAAGACAGUGAAUACUCAUUGCAUCAAUGAGUUGUUUAUAUGAGCUAUUCAAGUCAGGCACUGGUCUGGUAGGAUGACGUUUUCCAUACCUAAUUCACUAAUUUUUUGUUCUGAUGGACAGCAGUGUCUACUGGCAGGAAGAGAAAUAAAAUGAUGAUUUUACAAGGUUUGAUAUGUCCUUUCUGUCUGAAUGGGUUGUCAUUCCAGAAAACCUGCUAUUAGUGAAAUUGACAAACAGAUUUUUCUGCAGCAGAUGUUUUGGGAAAAUGCUUUCCAACCAUCAAAGUGGUAUCAUCUGCAUAUCUGAGGUUGUUAAUGUUUCUUCCAGCAAUUUUAACUCCAGUCUUGGAUUCAUCAAGUGCCCCACGUCACAUGAUGUGUUCUGCAUACAAGUUGAAUAGGGGAUUCCUUUACCCAGUUCAGGUUUGCUGAAGAAAAGGAAUGGAUUGUAGAAAACUUUUGCCCAAAGCAGGUUGUUUACAACUUGAUGGAACUGAAGAAAUCUGCUCAGCAUCUCAGCAGGAAGGUACAUCCAAAAGUAUUACUGAGGAGGAGCUUGAAGACUGGUUAGACAGCAUGAUUUCCUAAAGCCUGCAUUUUGGCUGUCAUGCAAGUAACUGAAAAAUAAAUGAACAUUACAGUAGCUAGGUAUAGAAUAUUUGUAAGUCUUUAAUUAAGUAGCUGCUUCAUCUGGAGUUUUAAUUAUGUUGUCUGUCUAGGUUUGUACUGAAAUCUUGAGACAAUAAAUCUGGAUGUAUUCCAGGUGUGAUGAGUGUUAUCAGCAGAUAAUUGAAUGCAUCAGCAUAUCUAUAAAGAGAUUGGAAUUGUUUCAGAAAAAUGCAAGUACUAUUAAAGAUAGUUUGGUUGCAAAUCAAUACAGAAAAAUAGAACAGUAAUUUCAUUGUAUGUUGAAUAAGACCAUAUUGCUCAGAGUGACAAAUUAAAAUAAGGGUAUCAAA
Anolis carolinensis (green anole) is the source of this 10375-nucleotide RNA transcript. It is a transcript of the gene named apoptosis and caspase activation inhibitor, with no coding region annotated. The record is from RefSeq and is a predicted model, not a curated record. Lineage: Eukaryota; Metazoa; Chordata; Lepidosauria; Squamata; Anolidae. The transcript has 4 exons.